AGUGAACGCUGGCGGUAGGCCUAACACAUGCAAGUCGAACGGCAGCACAGUAAGAGCUUGCUCUUACGGGUGGCGAGUGGCGGACGGGUGAGGAAUACAUCGGAAUCUACUUUUUCGUGGGGGAUAACGUAGGGAAACUUACGCUAAUACCGCAUACGACCUACGGGUGAAAGCAGGGGAUCUUCGGACCUUUCGCGAUUGAAUGAGCCGAUGUCGGAUUAGCUAGUUGGCGGGGUAAAGGCCCACCAAGGCGACGAUCCGUAGCUGGUCUGAGAGGAUGAUCAGCCACACUGGAACUGAGACACGGUCCAGACUCCUACGGGAGGCAGCAGUGGGGAAUAUUGGACAAUGGGCGCAAGCCUGAUCCAGCCAUGCCGCGUGGGUGAAGAAGGCCUUCGGGUUGUAAAGCCCUUUUGUUGGGAAAGAAAAGCAGCAGAUUAAUACCCCGCUGUUCUGACGGUACCCAAAGAAUAAGCACCGGCUAACUUCGUG
Molecule: ribosomal RNA, 492 nt
Filed under: uncultured bacterium
Lineage: Bacteria
Description: partial 16S ribosomal RNA
Rfam family: Bacterial small subunit ribosomal RNA
Source: RNAcentral